CACCAACCCGAGCAGGGAGAUACUGUUAUUCUCCCAUUUUACAGACAAGGAAACUGAAGCACACACAGAAAUGUCCCACACGACAGGGGACCAUCCCAUGAACCACCUUCCCUUGGUCAGGCAGGUGGACUUCAUCUCUCCAACUUAUAUUUAGGGAAUGGAUGCUCAGAGGGGUUCAGACGCUUGUUUGGGGAUCAGAGCCGGGGUUUGGACCCAGGGUUGUUUGCCUCCGAGGCUCUUGACCCCCUAUUCAGGACAUUCAAUAACUAAACACAUCAACCUUCGAGGCUGCUGGCCGCACUUCAAAGGCUGACUCCUCCACCCCAGAGACUGGGACUUAGAGCCUCUGAGAGUCCAUUUCCUGCUCUGUAAAAUGGGGGAAAAACCAGUCAAGACUUCCCCAGGUUGAAGUGAGGAUUCGAUGAAAAAAAAUGCGUGUGAAACCCUCCGAGGAGUGCCUGCCUUUACCCACUCAGCUGCCUGAGUUUGGGAAUGAGUUGGAGGCCUGGUGGCUCAGACGGUAAAGAAUCCGCCUGCAGUGCUGGAGACCUGGGU
Molecule: long non-coding RNA, 555 nt
Organism: Bubalus bubalis (water buffalo)
Lineage: Eukaryota; Metazoa; Chordata; Mammalia; Artiodactyla; Bovidae
Exons: 3
Source: RefSeq, a predicted model, not a curated record